UACAGAGGUCUCAAGCGUUGUUCGGAUUCAUUGGGCGUAAAGGGUGCGUAGGCGGCGCGGUAAGUCGGGUGUGAAAUCUUGGAGCUUAACUCCGAAACUGCAUUCGAUACUGCCGUGCUUGAGGACUGGAGAGGAGACUGGAAUUUACGGUGUAGCGGUGAAAUGCGUAGAUAUCUGGAGGAACACCGGUGGCGAAGGCGGCAUUCUGGACUGUAACUGACACUGAGGAACGAAAGCCAGGGGAGCAAACGGG
Molecule: ribosomal RNA, 253 nt
Filed under: uncultured bacterium
Lineage: Bacteria
Description: partial 16S ribosomal RNA
Rfam family: Bacterial small subunit ribosomal RNA
Source: RNAcentral